This 28-nucleotide non-coding RNA is filed under the name Homo sapiens (human). Lineage: Eukaryota; Metazoa; Chordata; Mammalia; Primates; Hominidae. The record is from RNAcentral.
UGGCCAGCAAAGGCGGUCUAGAUGAAGC